AAGAUCAAUACGGUAUUCCUUAAGGAUAUUUCCAGAAGUACUUGUAUUUACGAUACUCGAUAGGCACGCGCGACUGCACGAACAAGAUUUCCACCAAAAAACAAAAAGUGACCCAGAAGACCUAAUUAUUGUUCCUCUUCUCUCUUUUUUUCACACCAAUCCUCUGCUAUGCUCCAUUUCAAAAACUCUUUUUCUUUUAAAGGGGCAACUUCACUGCUUAGUUGCAGCGUCCAAUAAUCAGGUUUUAAUUAGUUGGUCUUAAUGUUCUGUGGAAUUUUCUUGAUCAGGGCUGUCAUGCUUCGGUCCCUUUGGAUGACAGCAAUGGUUAUAAAAAUCAUUCCAUACCCAAUCAUACCUUGAAAAGGCUUGGCCAGGGGGGUACUUUCAUGUGCUGAUAUUGUUUCUAUUGCCACCAGAGAUGGGAUUAUGCUUGUCUGUUCUCUAUCCUGAAUUUUCAUAUGUUCUCUCUCUCUCAUUUAGAUAUAUUUUUUGUUAAUAUUAAGGGUCCUUGCAGCUAACGGUUUUAGCAACAGCUUAAGGUUUAGGAUUUGAUGAUUGAUUGUGGAUAAUGAUGCUUAAAUGAAACUUGGGGAAAAUGACGGAGGGAGAGCAUUCAUUCAUAUUUCAAAGCACUGGCCAACAUUCCACAACCAGAUGAGAAAAAUGCCAAGUCAGCUUACAGAUUUGAGAUUGUUCAAAUGGUUAUUGUGGACACUGAACCUGAUGAACAUGUGAAGAGGACUGUGAGUGAGAUAAAUGCCGCUGCAAGAAUGAAGGUGGUGGCUAACGAGAAGGCUGAAGCAGAAAAAAUCUUGCAAAUAAAACAUGCAAAAGGAGACUGAGCACGGUAAACAUGCCAGCAUCAGACCAUUGAAGUUGGGCUGAGGGACAGUGUGCUUGCUUUUUCUAUGAAUGUACCUGGGACUACGUCAAAGGAUGUCAUGGACAUGGGUUUGGUGACUCAAUAUUUAGACACAAUGAAAGAAAUUGGCGCAUUGUCAUCACACACAGACCAGGUGCUGUGAAAGACAUUGCUUCACAGAUUAGAGAUGGCCUCCUUCAAUCAAAUACCACUCAGAAUUAGUGACUUUGUUCCAACAUAUAUGUUGCAUGAGUGGCAUUUCUAAUGGUGUAUGAAAUGAUUGGUGCUAGUAUCUAAGAGUUGUCUUUUAUUCUUCUUUUCUACUUUCCAAAUUAUUUACUUGAGUGAUGAUAGGAGCUAGGGAUUGUCAUGCAAGUUGCAACUAAGUGGUGUGGUGUGUAUACAUGGUGUUGAACUUGGCCAUAGUAUUCUUUUAUAGGAUGAGAUGGUACUGAUUUGGGUAAUUUUGUGGAA
This is an RNA transcript of Quercus lobata, 1336 nucleotides long. It is a transcript of the gene named hypersensitive-induced response protein 1-like, with no coding region annotated. The transcript is spliced from 5 exons. The record is from RefSeq and is a predicted model, not a curated record. NCBI's taxonomy places the organism in Eukaryota, Viridiplantae, Streptophyta, Magnoliopsida, Fagales, Fagaceae.